Molecule: long non-coding RNA, 100 nt
Organism: Etheostoma cragini (Arkansas darter)
Lineage: Eukaryota; Metazoa; Chordata; Actinopteri; Perciformes; Percidae
Exons: 3
Source: RefSeq, a predicted model, not a curated record
AAAUACGGACGACAAUUCAAAAUAUAUCAAAGUUACAAUACAAAGUAUGUUGUUACGUGUCAUUGGGCAUUUUUAAGCGGGUAUUUGAAAAUCCUGGAGC